UUUUGGACAAUGGGCGCAAGCCUGAUCCAGCCAUUCCGCGUGAGUGAAGAAGGCCUUCGGGUUGUAAAGCUCUUUCGCAAGGGAAGAAAGAUUACUCUCUAAUAUAGAGUGAUUAUGACGGUACCUUGAUAAGAAGCACCGGCUAACUACGUGCCAGCAGCCGCGGUAAUACGUAGGGUGCGAGCGUUAAUCGGAAUUACUGGGCGUAAAGCGUGCGCAGGCGGUUUUGUAAGUCAGAUGUGAAAUCCCCGAGCUCAACUUGGGAACUGCGUUUGAAACUACAAGACUAGAAUAGGUCAGAGGGGGGUAGAAUUCCACGUGUAGCAGUGAAAUGCGUAGAGAUGUGGAGGAAUAUCAAUGGCGAAGGCAGCCCCCUGGGAUCAUAUUGACGCUCAUGCACGAAA
RNAcentral lists this ribosomal RNA (404 nucleotides) under uncultured bacterium. RNAcentral describes it as "bacterial SSU rRNA". It matches the Rfam family "Bacterial small subunit ribosomal RNA", at positions 362 to 758 of the family's 1533-position model. The record is from RNAcentral.